UCCGCUAUAGACAAGGUGGCUAGUAUAUACGGCUCUCACCCGUAGGACCCGGGUUCGAGUCCCGGCAGUGGAU
Transfer RNA from Gregarina niphandrodes, 73 nucleotides. It matches the Rfam family "tRNA". From Rfam's summary of the family: Transfer RNA (tRNA) molecules are approximately 80 nucleotides in length. Their secondary structure includes four short double-helical elements and three loops (D, anti-codon, and T loops). Further hydrogen bonds mediate the characteristic L-shaped molecular structure. tRNAs have two regions of fundamental functional importance: the anti-codon, which is responsible for specific mRNA codon recognition, and the 3' end, to which the tRNAs corresponding amino acid is attached (by aminoacyl-tRNA synthetases). tRNAs cope with the degeneracy of the genetic code in two manners: having more than one tRNA (with a specific anti-codon) for a particular amino acid; and 'wobble' base-pairing, i.e. permitting non-standard base-pairing at the 3rd anti-codon position. NCBI's taxonomy places the organism in Eukaryota, Apicomplexa, Conoidasida, Eugregarinorida, Gregarinidae. The record is from Rfam.